CCCCCCCCCCCCCCCCCCCCCCCCCCCCCCCCCCCCCCCCCCCCCCCCCCCCCCCCCCCCCCCCCCCCCCCCCCCCCCCCCCCCCCCCCCCCCCCCCCCCCCCCCCCGCGGGGGGGCCGGGGCGGGGCGGCAGCCGCAAGGGGAGGGAAACAGGUGAGUCCGGCUCUCCCGAGAGUGCUCGGUGCUUUGCCUUGCGGUUUCCUAGACAGUCGUACUAUAAAAAAUACGGCUGUGGUGAGUAUAACAGAUAACCUGAACAAUUUGUUUGAAUAGCCUAAUUGAAAGAGAGGAAAUGUAGGUUACAUAUGAGGAAGAAAUUCUUUACUGUGAGGGUAGCGAGGUACUGACACAGGUUGCAUAGAGAGGCUGCAGAUGUCCCGUUCCUGGAAGCAUUGAAGGUCUAGUGAGAGGCAUCCCUGUCCGUGGCAGGGGGCUGGAACGAAAUGUUUCUUGAGAUCUAUUCCAAUCCCUUAACGUUCUGUAAUUCUGUAAGAAUUAAUGUGGGUGUAUUACUCAGACUUUACCCCAGUGAACCUCUCCUGUCCUCUCCUCUCCCUACAGAAAUCUUCCACUUCUAAUCACAAAUUUUAAAUAGUCUUGGGAUGAUACGGAUUUAUCCUCUCAUUUUAUUCUCAGCAGCUCUCAAAUUUGAACUGUGUAAACACUUGCAUCAAUUUCUGCAGCCUUAACUGAGGUACAUUCACUGUAAUUCUACAUUCUAUGUGCAUUUCCAUAACACCUUUUCUCACCUAUAUCAGCGUUUAGAGGGAAGUUGUUUUUUAUUUUGACACAGUAAUAGGAAUAGAAAAACACAAAUAUAAAGGGCUGACAGCAAACUGAUAAACUUGGCACAAACUCUAAUAUAAAAAAUAAAUCUUUGAGAUGGCACAGUUGAUGGAAGUAUUAGCAUAAGGACAAACAAGAGAGGAAACAUUUUGCUCAGAUGUCUCACAUUUGUAUUUCCACGGGAGGAUUUUUCUGUACCCUUGAAUUGUGAAGGUUGUUCAAGACAGUCUCAGAAUGACAAGUCCGUGCUCAGUGGGGACACUGCAAUACUUCACAACACGUAGAGCAUCGGGACAAAUCGGUGACCUAAAAUAAAACUCUGAAAGUAAGUAAAUUAUUUUGUGCAAGGAAAAAAUGUGUAUCUGGUUAGGGGACGAAGGAAACCAGAGUGAAACACUAAAGGUAGAUUAGUUUUCUGCGAGGAGAAGCCAUAUAACCGGUAAGGGGACAAAGGCCAGCAGCCCGUGCGCUAUCUGCGUGUCCCGCUGCGGUGACGGCCCCGCAGCCGCGGCCCCGGGCGCGCCGGAAGCGCCGGGGAGGCCCCGCCCCGUGCGGCCCCCCCCCCCCCCCCC
Molecule: long non-coding RNA, 1358 nt
Filed under: Ficedula albicollis (Collared flycatcher)
Lineage: Eukaryota; Metazoa; Chordata; Aves; Passeriformes; Muscicapidae
Description: lncRNA (ENSFALG00000023484.1)
Source: RNAcentral